Syngnathus acus (greater pipefish) is the source of this 969-nucleotide long non-coding RNA. RefSeq lists it as uncharacterized. The record is from RefSeq and is a predicted model, not a curated record. The transcript is spliced from 2 exons. NCBI's taxonomy places the organism in Eukaryota, Metazoa, Chordata, Actinopteri, Syngnathiformes, Syngnathidae.
GGGUGAGGCAAGCUCCUGUCUCCCUGUCACACAGGCUGCCUUUGCAGCUGCACGUUUUACGGCACUCCAUGCCAUAGGUGCCAAACUGGCAGUCUGGGAAGAGAAAACAAAUAAUACCGAAGAACUCGCAGAAAAGGCCCGGUCCGCACUUGACGCCGUGCAUGCCGGACACAGUGCGGUAACAGUGCUCCCCUCGCCCGGCCGUGCACACGCGGCAGCAGCCGCAGUCAUCCAGCACUGUGCGUGCGCAGCCGAGCGUGGGACCGCAGCGCUCCACGUCGCACCUGUCCGGACAGUUGACGGCGUACUUGACGCCGGAGCCCCAUGCCUGGGCGCCGGGGUCGCCGUGAGCGCCAAGGGCGAGCAGCGAGGAGAGCACCGUGAACAGCAGCAGAGACAUGGCGGGCGAGGAGGAGGAGGCGCGGAGGAUGGUGAUGAUCGGUGGUGGUGGUGGUGAUGCUGAUGAUGAGAUGCUGCCUCUGCCUGAGACUUAAGUGGGAGUGAGGAGGCGAGCAUCAGCCUGAGAGCUUUUCACGGCAUCCAACAAGUUUGUUUUGCACUUCGCUCUCGUCAAUUUCCUCAUUCCGCUCCUCUUUUAGAGAUCCGGCAGUGGAAGUGCAUGCAUGGGAUUAGCGUGGAGUCGCCAUCCAGGAACUGGAAUCCACGUGACCUCAUGGCACAAGUUAUCUUUGCUUUGUUUUUUUUGCGGGAGACAAAGGGAACUGCGCUGUCAUCGGACCUGCGUGCCACGGACUGAACCAGAUGGACAACAUUUGGGGAUGUGCAACAUUUCAAAAGUGAAGAAAAAAACAAAAAGAGUAGAACGUCUUAAAGCAAGUUAGACAUUUCCAACGCACAGCCUAAAUCAGGGGUGGGCAACUUUUUUUUCUAUGGAAAUGUUGUUCUGUUUUGUGCAAUCCUCCAAAAUUUGAAGAAAACGUGGAUAGGUUUUCAACAUAUGUUUUCCAC